CAGUAGUGCUAUCAAAAGAGGAACAGCCUUACCGGUUGUCACUUCAAAAGAACAAAGAUCCAGAAGUGCUACUUCGUCUUGAACAGCCUUCCCGGUUGUCUCUCCAAAGGCAAAAAGGUGCAGAAGUUCUACCCAGCCAGGAACAGCCUUCCCAGUUGUCUCUCCAAAGGCACAAAGGUCCAGAGGUGCUACGCAGUCAGUUACAACCUUCCCAGUUGUCUCUCCAAAGGCACAAAGGUCCAGUGGCGCUACCUAGCCAGGAACAACCUUCUCUGUUUUCUCUUCAAAGGAACAAAGGUCCUGGAUU
RNAcentral lists this long non-coding RNA (307 nucleotides) under Malus domestica (apple). Its description in RNAcentral is "long non-coding RNA (MDOM_LNC014835)". The record is from RNAcentral. Lineage: Eukaryota; Viridiplantae; Streptophyta; Magnoliopsida; Rosales; Rosaceae.